AUUACCGCGGCUGCUGGCACGGAGUUAGCCGGUGCUUCUUCUGCGAGUAACGUCAAUCACCAAGGUUAUUAACCUUAACGCCUUCCUCCUCGCUGAAAGUACUUUACAACCCGAAGGCCUUCUUCAUACACGCGGCAUGGCUGCAUCAGGCUUGCGCCCAUUGUGCAAUAUUCCCCACUGCUGCCUCCCGUAGGAG
This 196-nucleotide ribosomal RNA is filed under the name uncultured bacterium. RNAcentral describes it as "partial 16S ribosomal RNA". The record is from RNAcentral.